This 226-nucleotide long non-coding RNA is filed under the name Ricinus communis (castor bean). RNAcentral's name for it is "long non-coding RNA (RCOM_LNC001971)". Lineage: Eukaryota; Viridiplantae; Streptophyta; Magnoliopsida; Malpighiales; Euphorbiaceae. The record is from RNAcentral.
AGCAAACAUACCUCCUGCAUUAUAGUUUACACCGUAGUACGGGCCACCAUAGAAAUCGCAUCUUAUCUGUGCUGCAUAAACCGGCAUCUAGAGUUGGUAUAUUUUCUUGGUCAGAAGCUCCACCUGAGCUGCCAAGGCUGCUGUGGAAUCUAGCUGGUUGACCACUCCCUGCUUGACUGGCCGACUCCUAGAGGAUUGCCACUAGUAGUUAUUCAUGGUCAUCUCC